Molecule: long non-coding RNA, 1497 nt
Filed under: Homo sapiens (human)
Lineage: Eukaryota; Metazoa; Chordata; Mammalia; Primates; Hominidae
Description: novel transcript
Source: RNAcentral
GCCGGCUUUGGGCAGAGGCAGCCAGGGCGCCGGAAGAGGCCUGGAAAUCCACGCGGCUUCCCAAAGACGGCGCCUCUGUUCUGCGGGUUCGUGACGAGGAUUUAUUUCCACCCACUGCGCCUGGGCGCAGGUCUGCGGGUCCGCGCCCACUGCGUGCGGCGCCACGGACCAUGUCGGUGACUGAUCAGGCUUUUGUCACACUGGCCACAGAUGACAUCUACUGCCAGGGCGCCCUGGUCCUGGGGCAGUCACUGAGGAGACACAGGCUGACGAGGAAGCUGGUGGUGUUGAUCACUCCUCAGGUGUCCAGCCUGCUCAGGAGCCCCUUGGUCUUCAUGUCUUUGGUGUGUGCACUCUUGAACACUUGCCAGGCACACAGGGUGCAUGACAACAAGCCUAAUAUUAUCCUGAUCAUGGUUGAUAACCUGGGUAUUGGAGAUCUGGGCUGCUAUGGCAAUGACACCAUCAGGACGCCUCACAUCCACUGCCUUGCCAGGGAAGGCGUGCGACUGACUCAGCACAUCUCUGCCACCUCCAUCUGCAGCCCAAGCUGGUCCGUGUUCUUGACGGGAAGAUACCCGAUCUGAUCAGAUGAAGAACACAGAGUGUGGAGACAUGAAGAGGCUUUGAUGAUGUUUCACCAUGUUGCCCAGGCUGGUCUCAAACUCCUGGUCUCAAGCUAUCCAGCUGCUUCAGCCUCCCAAAGUGCUUGGAUUACAACCAUGAGCCACCACACCCAGUCCUCCUCUCCUCUUCUUAUAAGGGUGCCAGUCACUAAAUUUAGGGCCUACUUAACCUGCAAAGAUUCUACUUCCAGAUAAGGACACAUUGUGAAGUUCCAGAUGGCCAUGAAUUAUGAAUUAUCAGUGGAGAAUACUACUUAGCUCACUACAACGUGCAAAAGUGCAAGGACAUACCUUCUGUAAUCUUCUGUGACCAGAGGAGGGAAAGAGACUCAAAAAUAUUGGAAGGGCUGAGGCUGAGAAAUGGAGUGAAUUCCCUAUGGGUAGCUUUUCCAUUUCCAGGAAGUAUGUGGUAAGAUUAUGAAGGGGAUCAAAAUAUGCCACCCAAAAAUAUGACAUUUCGGUGCAAGCAUUACUUUGAGCUAAAGGCUACUGAAUAAGAGCAGGCACAGAACAAGCUCUCUACCCUCCCCCUUUCUGUUAAAAUGCAGGGCAUAUGUUUUCCCUUUGAAAAGAAAAUUCAUUUGUAAAGAAAAAUUUCAUUUAUAAAGGUGUCCUCUCAUGGAUGAUUCCAGAGAUAGGGAUUAUCACCUGAGAUGACUUGAGUCUAUAUAAUAAUCUAUACUUACCAGGCAUUUUCUAGCCACCUUCUACAAACUUACCCCCAUCCUAGAUGCUUAAAUUCCAUUUGCCUUUGUCUAGUUCCUUCUCUAAACUUUAUCACCCUGUGUUAAGGUGGUAUAUAAUCCCCUAGGUCCAAGCACCUCUUCAGGGUCCUCACUUCUUUUCCAUGUGUCUCCCCAUGUGUACAUAC